RNAcentral lists this ribosomal RNA (252 nucleotides) under uncultured bacterium. Its description in RNAcentral is "partial 16S ribosomal RNA". It matches the Rfam family "Bacterial small subunit ribosomal RNA", at positions 524 to 776 of the family's 1533-position model. The record is from RNAcentral.
UACAGAGGUCCCAAGCGUUGUUCGGAUUCACUGGCGUAAAGGGUGCGUAGGUGGCCAGGUAAGUUCGGUGUGAAAGCUCGGAGCUUAACUCCGAAAUGUCAUUGAAUACUAUCUGGCUGGAGGGUCGGAGGGGAGACUGGAAUUCUCGGUGUAGCAGUGAAAUGCGUAGAUAUCGAGAGGAACACCAGUGGCGAAGGCGAGUCUCUGGACGACUCCUGACACUGAGGCACGAAAGCUAGGGGAGCAAACAGG